Molecule: ribosomal RNA, 468 nt
Filed under: uncultured bacterium
Lineage: Bacteria
Description: partial 16S ribosomal RNA
Rfam family: Bacterial small subunit ribosomal RNA
Source: RNAcentral
GACGAACGCUGGCGGCGUGCUUAACACAUGCAAGUCGAACGGAAAUGCCCUGUUUUUGGCGGGUGCGGGCAGGGGCAAACGGUGGGGAAACAGUUAGUUAACUGCCCUCGCACUUGGGAUAAACUCCGGAAACUGGUGCCUAUUCCGGGGUGUUGUUUCUGUGCCACGGUGUGGGUCGGAGAGUGUCUGCGGUUGGGGUUGGAUUCGCGGCGUAUCAGCUUGUGGGUGGGGUAGUGGCUUACCAAGGCUUGGACGGGUAGCCGGCCGGAGAGGGUGACAGGCCACAUUGGGACUGAGAUAAGGGCCAGACUACUACGGGAGGCAGCAGUGGGGAAUAUUGCACAAUGGGCGGAAGCCUGAUGCAGCAACGCCGCGUGCGGGAUGACGGCCUUCGGGUUGUAAACCGCUUUCGCCUGUGACGAAGCGUGAGUGACGGUAAUGGGUAAAGAAGCACCGGCUAACUACGUG